Molecule: ribosomal RNA, 409 nt
Filed under: Actinomycetes bacterium
Lineage: Bacteria; Bacillati; Actinomycetota; Actinomycetes
Description: Actinobacteria bacterium partial 16S ribosomal RNA
Rfam family: Bacterial small subunit ribosomal RNA
Source: RNAcentral
UGGGGAAUAUUGCACAAUGGGCGGAAGCCUGAUGCAGCGACGCCGCGUGGGGGAUGAAGGCCUUCGGGUUGUAAACUCCUUUCGACAGGGACGAAGCUUUUGUGACGGUGCCUGUAUAAGAAGCACCGGCUAACUACGUGCCAGCAGCCGCGGUAAUACGUAGGGUGCGAGCGUUGUCCGGAAUUACUGGGCGUAAAGAGCUCGUAGGUGGUUUGUCGCGUCGUCUGUGAAAUUCCGGGGCUUAACUCCGGGCGUGCAGGCGAUACGGGCUGACUUGAGUGCUGUAGGGGAGACUGGAAUUCCUGGUGUAGCGGUGAAAUGCGCAGAUAUCAGGAGGAACACCGAUGGCGAAGGCAGGUCUCUGGGCAGUAACUGACGCUGAGGAGCGAAAGCAUGGGUAGCGAACAGG